GUCGAACGAGGCUUAACAUGAAACCUAGUGAUUGUUAAGUUAGUGGCGGACGGGUGAGUAACGCGUGGAUAACCUGCCGUAUGCAGGGGGAUAACAGUUGGAAACAGCUGCUAAUACCGCAUAAGCGCACAGUACCGCAUGGUACGGUGUGAAAAGAUUUAUCGGCAUACGAUGGAUCCGCGUCCGAUUAGCCAGUUGGCGGGGUAACGGCCCACCAAAGCGACGAUCGGUAGCCGGCCUGAGAGGGCGGACGGCCACAUUGGGACUGAGACACGGCCCAAACUCCUACGGGAGGCAGCAGUGGGGAAUAUUGCACAAUGGGGGAAACCCUGAUGCAGCGACGCCGCGUGAGUGAAGAAGUAUCUCGGUAUGUAAAGCUCUAUCAGCAGGGAAGAAAAUGACGGUACCUGACUAAGAAGCCCCGGCUAACUACGUGCCAGCAGCCGCGGUAAUACGUAGGGGGCAAGCGUUAUCCGGAUUUACUGGGUGUAAAGGGAGCGUAGACGGCGCUGCAAGUCCGGAGUGAAAGCCCAUGGCUUAACCAUGGUACUGCUCUGGAAACUGUGGAGCUUGAGUGCGGGAGGGGCAGGCGGAAUUCCUAGUGUAGCGGUGAAAUGCGUAGAUAUUAGGGGGAACACCGGCGGCGAAGGCGGCCUGCUGGACCGUAACUGACGUUGAGGCUCGAAAGCGUGGGGAG
Molecule: ribosomal RNA, 697 nt
Filed under: uncultured bacterium
Lineage: Bacteria
Description: bacterial SSU rRNA
Rfam family: Bacterial small subunit ribosomal RNA
Source: RNAcentral